This 317-nucleotide long non-coding RNA is filed under the name Mytilus galloprovincialis (Mediterranean mussel). Lineage: Eukaryota; Metazoa; Mollusca; Bivalvia; Mytilida; Mytilidae. The record is from RNAcentral.
CCGGAUUUUUGUGACAAAAAUGUCGGUUAUUGAUUUGGGGAUAUACGGCGGGUAGUCGGGCGGUCGGGGAGUGGGGCGGUCGGGCAGUGGGGCGGUCGGGCGGUCGGUCGGGCGGGCGGCAACCAAAUGUUGUCCGUGCAUUUACUCAUGAACCGUUCAUCCAAAGCUUUUAAAAUUUUAAUAUGUUGUUACUGACAACAAAAUGAAGGUCAAGUUCAAGAAUGACGAUUUUGACUUUUACCGUUCAGGAGUUAUGGUUCUUGAAAGAUUGAAAAAUGGCUUUUCCAGUCGUGUCCGUACAUUUUCGCAUGAACUGU